UUCGCAAUGCCCGAAAGGGUGAACGAGCGACGCCGCGUGCGGGAUGAAGGGUUUCGGCUUGUAAACCGCUUUUCUUUGGGAAGAAGGUCUGUCUCGUGCAGAUGGGCUCGACGGUACCAGAGGAAUAAGCCUCGGCUAACUCCGUGCCAGCAGCCGCGGUAAGACGAACCGUGCAAACGUUGUUCGGAUUCACUGGGCUUAAAGGGCGCGUAGGCGGCUUACCAAGUCAGGGGUGAAAUCUUUACGGCUCAACCGGAAAAGUGCCCCUGAUACUGGUGGGCUAGAGGGAGGUAGGGGCGGGUGGAACUUCCGGUGGAGCGGUGAAAUGCGUAGAUAUCGGAAGGAACGCCGGUGGCGAAAGCGACCUGCUGGAUCUCUACUGACGCUGAGGCGCGAAAGCUAGGGGAGCAAACGGGAUUAGAUACCCCGGUAGUCCUAGCCCUAAACGAUGGGCACUAAGUAGAGGGGUUUU
Molecule: ribosomal RNA, 472 nt
Filed under: uncultured bacterium
Lineage: Bacteria
Description: bacterial SSU rRNA
Rfam family: Bacterial small subunit ribosomal RNA
Source: RNAcentral